This is a long non-coding RNA of Dermochelys coriacea (leatherback sea turtle), 918 nucleotides long. RefSeq lists it as uncharacterized. The record is from RefSeq and is a predicted model, not a curated record. The transcript has 3 exons. Lineage: Eukaryota; Metazoa; Chordata; Testudines; Dermochelyidae.
AAGGGCUGCCUGAAACCUGUUAAAAUCUUCUCUCCUGGUGAAGCAGGGAGAGACAAACUGCUGCAAGGCUGGAGGCAGCAGGGAGAUUGGCUUUUCUAGUGUGAGAGAGACCCAAUGCCUGUUUAGGGGAAGGACUGACACCCUGGGGCCAGCAACAGGACAACACCUGUCCCAGCAAGGAGGACAGGGAAAGGUAAUAUACCUAGUAGGCUUCCACAACACUUGUUGUUUAAGUGCCCUAACAAGAAGACCUGGCUUUCCAAACAGUUUGAGACACAAGAAAGGGCUGCAGAGACUGUCCAGAAGACAACCAGCACAUCAAGGAAACAAGAGGACACAUGCUACAACUAUUUUACUGGUCAAUUUAUUACAGCAAUGCAAGCUUAUUUCAAUCCACACUGCAAAUUAAGUGCCUUGUACAAAUAAUCAUUUUCAUCUGCAAAUUCAAAUGCUGGGAUUUUACUCAGAUUAAAACAGCAUCUUUAUCUACUGAUAAUUCAUUUGUUCUUGGUCUAUCCCAGACUCUAAACAAUAAGCUACAGCAUGCCUAAUUGCGUUUACCCUGGAGAUCAUAAAAGAAGGGAGUGUGUUUACCAGAAAUUUGAAUUGGGAAGACUGAAUACCUUAAUGACCCCACCAAUCAAUCCUUCCCAUGAAAAGUCUGGGACAGUGUGACUUUGCAGCAGAUCUCUGAAAUCACUAAAUCCUGGCUCUGGGGAACCGAAACUGUGGGUGGGAAGUAAAUUCAAGCCCCUGCCUCCCAACCAAAUACCAAGAACAUCCUGCACCACAAGGCUUCUGCUAUUUAAACCAGAAAGGAGGUUGUUCACUCAAGUAUUCCACCACAAGAUGAGGAAAACCCCAUUUGGGGCUUGCUUGAUUUUUUUUUUUAAACCCAUCAGUAUUAAAAACAGGCUA